Molecule: long non-coding RNA, 3712 nt
Organism: Cuculus canorus (common cuckoo)
Lineage: Eukaryota; Metazoa; Chordata; Aves; Cuculiformes; Cuculidae
Exons: 3
Source: RefSeq, a predicted model, not a curated record
UCUGAGCAGCUCAUCAUUUUUAAUGUCUUUUCCUGCACAACACUGGCAGUGCUUUUGCCAAGAUCAACAUCUAAUCCCCGGCUUCCCAAAGAGUUCCCUGGCAGGUGGCGAGUUAGGCAAGAGCAGUCUCUAGCUCGCACCCUGGCAGGUGAAACCUGACCUCAGCUGCUUGUCCUCCUGCCUUCUGGGGUCUUGACCCUUCGCAGCCGGAGAAGAAAAGGACUGAGCUGGAAAAAAACCAAACAGAAUCAGAUAACUUACUGGCUAAGCGUGGCUCUGCAUCAGUCUCGUGCCUCGGCACUCCGGGGGUACCGGACGGUGACAGGGUUGAGAGCUCUGCCAAGGUCUGAUGCUGUCCCACCAGGCUGUGUUCACACCUCUGUCCAGGUGUUGGCUCAGAGGAGAGGGACGUGGCAGCCCAACACACACCGUGCUGCAGCAGAACCUGAGGCUGGAGGGCACCCAGAGACUGAACUUCUCCAAGGCCCAUGGUAGCUGCAGGGCUAGGAAACAGUGAUGAGGGGCACACGGUGGGAACUCGCACACUCCUGAUGUCUCCUCUGUGGAUGAACCACUCCAGCUUCCAGCUCUCCUGGCUGCUCGCUGCCUGCAAGCUCAGAAACAACGGCAGCAAAAAUGCCAUUGUUGUAGCACAGCGCUAAGAACGACAAAUUUAUGAAAGCAAUUUCCUUGCCAGGCUGCCAGAAUUCAAGGAGAUUUCUGAGACAAGGAAAUGCUUUGGUUCUUUCAGGUGGGAAUCACUGCAUUAACCUCCCUCUUGAAAACAUAACAGCCUUCCCUUUGCGGAGAGGGGUGGGUGCAUACAGGUCUGACCAAGAAAGGUGCAGUCUGCUUCUCUAACUUAGCCAGCAACCAGCCGCCGCCCUGAAAAAUGGUCUUGCCUCCAGCUUGUGUUUUUCCCAGCAAUGGUAAGAGAGAGAUAAGACAUAAAGCCAGCAGCUCCUUCGUUUAACUGUGAGGAUCUAACAGGGUGUUUACUUGAUUCCAAGGGAUUCCACAGCUCUCUUUGCAUGGGAGGAUAAUAGAUUCAAUUUGGCUUCUGGGCACCAGCAGGAGCUCACCCAGAGCCCAGUGUGUGCACCUGAAGUCGUGGAUUGUCACCCUCUGUGCACUAACAAUCCAGUAAACAGCACAGAUCGGUGCAACAUAGAACAACCACCUCCUACUAUUCUGUGGUUACUGAGCAAAAAGCACAAUCAACCAGGCAAAUACCAUGCCUUGAAGACAGGUUUUAGGCAAUGCACAUCAACAUGUUUGGUUUAUUUAACUGGUGUAUUUUAAUACUAUUUUCCAUCUACUCUUAGCAACUCAGCAUUUGUUCCAGCAGGUCCUAUGUCACUGCUUUGAGUUCACUCCGGGAUUCUGCUCAGCUCUACUCUGGCUGCAGAAAAAAUGACCCCCACUGACUCUAAUGAAGUCUCUUUAUUGCUGUUUAAUCCUGCGUGUGUGCCUGGCAGCAGACUAUCAGCCCUGGGGACAAAAGGGCUCUAUUUCCCCACAAAUGGGUACUUUCAGAGAGCCUUUCCCCAGUGCUGGGGGAAGGUCACCCAAGUGCAUUCAGGUGACUGGCGGGGAUGGCUGUGGAGCCAGGAGGGCUCAGCUGGAGAGGUCGGACAGCACAACUCACCAUAGACAGAUUAGCUGGUAAGACUCAAGCAGUUAACCUUUGGCUCCUCUGCUUCAGUUAGUGGUGGCUGUGAUGGAGCUCAGGAUCCAUCCCUUAGGAUCUGACUGACGUCACCAGGGAUUUAAAGCUCCAGUCAUGGCUAACCUAGGCUAGAUCUGAACUAGAGAUCUUCAAAACCCAUUUUAAACUUGCGUUUUAUUAAAAGGCUGAGCUGUACUUUCUACUGGGAUCCUUUUGGAGUGAGAAGGGUAGUGGGUAGGUCCAUAAAAGAACCUACAUGUGAAUUCCUGCUGCAACAACUGAGUGGUUGCUGACUACACAGGAACGUCUCUGCACACUCUUUUCCUCUGCAAGGGCUGGAAGUUGCUCUACCAGGGGAAUUUUUUGCUUUGUCAAAAUUCCAGUGCUCAAGCUGGGCAGCAGAGCUCCUCUGCAAUCGAGUUUUAAUCUUUAGCAUACAACAGACCUUCCAGACAAUUUCUGAGAUGCAUCUCACUACAGCAACUUCUAGGGAGUCUUCAAUAGCAAAACCAAUUGUACCCUUCUUUCCCCACAGUCUCUAUGUCCAGUAACCAGUCUGCUUGAAUUGGUUAAAUUCAAGAAAUAUGACAGUAUAUCAGUGAGGUAACACCUGAGCUGCUGGAUUUCCACAUAAUUUAUUAACAUUAGGAAGAUUUUCAGCAGUUUUUCAGUCAUUUGGGAGCUUAAGAGAACUAUUUCUAGACUAUAUCUUUCCAGACCUUGCAGCAGUAUUCAAUAUUUAUAAGGAAUUCCCUGCCUUAGUAGCAACAACUGACGAUUACGAAAAAUAAGUACGCUAUAAAAAGCAGACAUAGAAUCAUAGAAUCGUUUGGUUGGAAAAGACUUUUGAGAACAUAGAGUCCAGUCGUACCUGUCAGUACUAGACCAAACCCCUGAGCACUUCAUCCACCCAUCUUUUAAAUCCCUCCAGGGAUGGGGACUCCACCACCUCCCUGGGCAGCCUCUGCCAGGGCCUGAGAACCCUUUCAGGGAGGAAAUUUUUCCUAGUAUCUAGUCCAAACCUCCCCUUGCACAACUUGAGGCCAUUCCCUCUCAUUCUAUUGCCUGUCACUUGGGAGAAGAGACCAACAGCCAUCUUCCCACAACCUCCUUUCCAGGAGCUGCAGAGAGCCUCCCUUUCUCCAGGCUAAACAAUCCCAGUUCCCUCAGCUGCUCGUCAUAAGACUUGUUCCCCUUCCCCAGCUCCGUUCCCUUCUCCAGAUGUGCUCCAGCCCUUCACUGUUUUUCUUGGAGUGAGGAGCCCAAAACUGAACCCAGGAUUCGAGGUCAGCCUCACCGAGUACAGACAGGUGAUCACUUCCCUGUUCCUGCUGGCCAAACUCUUUCUGAUCCAAGCCAACAUGCCAUUGGCUUCCUUGGUCACUUGGGCCACUGCUGGCUCGUGUUCAGCCACUGUCAACGAACACUCCCGGGUCCUUCUCUGCCUGGCGACUUUCCAGCCAUUCUUCCCCAAAGCCUGGAGUGCUGCAUGGGGUCGGUUGUGUCCCAAGUCCAGGACUCGGCACAAAAUUAAUCAUAGAAUCACCAGGUUGGAAAAAACCUCUAGGAUCAUCAAGUCCAACCAUCCCUAUCUGUCACUAAACCAAGUCCCUGAGCACCUCAUCUACCCGUCUUUUAAAUAUCUCCAGGGACGGAUUCUGCCAAAGACUGCUAGAUGAGAAUAUUUCCAGCUUUUGCCUGACUGGUAGAUGUCUAGUUUGAGCAAAUAGAUCUUGAAAGGUCUUGGAAAGGAGAGGGUGCAUGGGAAUUUGCAGCAGCUACAGCAAAAGAUUUUCCUCUGCUUACACAAUAAAUCAGCAGCAGCAUCAGGGACAGAACCAGUCUUCAGGUUUCUACUCCAGCCACUGAUUCAGAGACCCACGCUGUGUAUGAAGCGCUCAGAUAUUGCAAUAGGAUUCUGUAACACAUGAAUAAAACCCUCCCCCAUCCUCUAAAUAACAUUUUGAGAUCGUGCUGAAUCUAAGCUUUUCUGCAAAAAUGCGAACGGCUCACGUUUAAUGAUGCAACAGAGAGAAAAGAUAA